CAAGCAAGUAGGAGUCAGGUUUUAAACCUAAUGGCUCUUUCAUGAUUAUAUGAUAGGUGGUGCAUGGCCGUUCUUAGUUCGUGGAGUGAUCUGUCUGCUUAAUUGCGUUUCAAAUUUUUAACCGAGGACCGGGUUUUGGUUUGGCUAGUGGUCCUACGAUGACUGUGAACUGUCAUGUCUUCGGAUGUACGACUAUCGGUCUAGGAUCACAUGACUUGCCCCUGGGACUCUUUUGAACGCAACGGACGUGAUUGCAACCCCUUGUUGAGAUUAGAGAUAGUCUCGAUAUUCACUGGCCAAACUGGCUGCUUUAUGCAGUCUUGUUGAAUGGUGGAUAAACUCGGGGGACUGCUGACUAUAACCAUUUCUCAAAACAGAGGAAGGUUGCGGCAAUAACAGGUCUGUGAUGCCCUCAGAUGUCCCGGGCUGCACACGUGCUACAAUGAGUGGCGCAAUGUGCUAAUGUUUUAAGGGAUAAGCGUGCGGCCAGUAGAACGUCGGCAAUUGCCCUGGCGUCUUCUACCGCACGAUUAUCAGCCUUCCCUUAACAGGGCGGGCAACCUUUUCAAAAUACCGGUUUGAUGUUAAAGUAUA
Molecule: ribosomal RNA, 594 nt
Filed under: Globigerinoides ruber albus
Lineage: Eukaryota; Foraminifera; Rotaliida; Globigerinidae
Description: SSU rRNA
Rfam family: Eukaryotic small subunit ribosomal RNA
Source: RNAcentral